RNAcentral lists this ribosomal RNA (242 nucleotides) under uncultured bacterium. RNAcentral describes it as "partial 16S ribosomal RNA". It matches the Rfam family "Bacterial small subunit ribosomal RNA", at positions 15 to 239 of the family's 1533-position model. The record is from RNAcentral.
GAUCAUGGCUCAGGAUGAACGCUGGCGGCGUGCUUAACACAUGCAAGUCGAACGGGAAUUACUUUAUUGAAGCUUCGGUCGAUAUAAUUUAAUUCUAGUGGCGGACGGGUGAGUAACGCGUGGGUAACCUGCCUUAUACAGGGGGAUAACAGUCAGAAAAUGGCUGCUAAUACCGCAUAAGCGCACAGAGCUGCAUGGCUCAGUGUGAAAAACUCCGGUGGUAUAAGAUGGACCCGCGUUGG